GUGUCAGCAGCCGCGGUAAUACCAGCACCCCGAGUGGUCGGGAUGAUUAUUGGGCCUAAAGCAUCCGUAGCCGGUGUAACAAGUCCUCCGUUAAAUCCACCUGCUUAACAGGUGGGCUGCGGAGGAUACUGUUACACUAGGAGGCGGGAGAGGCGAGGGGUAUUCCACGGGUAGGGGUAAAAUCCUCUGAUCAGUGGAGGACCACCAGUGGCGAAGGCGCCUCGCCAGAACGCGCUCGACGGUGAGGGAUGAAAGCUGGGGGAGCAAACCGGAGUAGCUCCCCGGGUAGUCCCAGCCGUAAACGAUGUAGGCUCGGUGAUGGACUGGCUCCGAGCCAGUCCAGUGCCGCAGGGAAGCCGUUAAGCCUACCGCCUGGGGAGUACGGCCGCAAGGCUGAAACUCAAGUGAAUUGACGGGG
This 418-nucleotide ribosomal RNA is filed under the name uncultured prokaryote. Its description in RNAcentral is "bacterial SSU rRNA". It matches the Rfam family "Archaeal small subunit ribosomal RNA", at positions 455 to 873 of the family's 1478-position model. The record is from RNAcentral.